Molecule: ribosomal RNA, 490 nt
Filed under: uncultured bacterium
Lineage: Bacteria
Description: partial 16S ribosomal RNA
Rfam family: Bacterial small subunit ribosomal RNA
Source: RNAcentral
AACGAACGCUGGCGGCGUGGAUAAGACAUGCAAGUCGAACGGGGUUGUUUGUGUAGCAAUACAUCGACAACCUAGUGGCGAACGGGUGCGUAACACGUGAGCAAUCUGCCGGGAAGUGGGGGAUAGCUCGCCGAAAGGCGAAUUAAUACCGCAUGUGGCCAGAGGGGACAUCCCUUCGACGCCAAAGUCGCAAGACGCUUCCUGAUGAGCUCGCGGCCUAUCAGCUUGUUGGUGAGGUAACGGCUCACCAAGGCUAUGACGGGUAGCUGGUCUGAGAGGACGACCAGCCACACUGGGACUGAGACACGGUCCAGACACCUACGGGUGGCAGCAGUCGAGAAUUUUUCACAAUGGGGGCAACCCUGAUGGAGCGACGCCGCGUGGAGGAUGAAGGUCUUCGGAUUGUAAACUCCUGUCAUGGGGGACUAAUGGUCGGGCUCAUACCCCGAUUUGAAUUAACCCCAAGAGGAAGCAGUGGCUAACUCUGUGC